AAUCUAUCAAAUAAGAAAGAGAAUAGAGUAUAUUAAAAAAAACUCUGAGUCUGGUAGGAAAUGUGUUUCUCUUCUCCUGAACUCAACCUACAACAAGGCAGCAGCAUGCAUCUAGUCAUGUGUUUCUAUGUAUUAAUACUAUAGACUUUAAUAUUACGUACGUUAUUAAUGAACGAACAACAAUUCUUAAAACCCACCCUGUAAAAUUAUAUUAUUGGAACAACACUGUAAUACGGGACUUAUAUCUUCUGCUGUUUGUUUGGCGGACAGGUACAAAGACAAACUGCUUCACCCCUGUCGUGUCUCCAUCCACUGUCUCUCCUACAGGUGAUGACGGCUUCCCAGUUGUCACUGUAGCCUCAUCGUGUGUGGCUGUGUGUGUAGGAGUGUGUAUCACUAUAGUAAUAAUAAUGAUCUACAAGAGGAGACCAGAUAAUCACCUUUCAUCCAGUCAAGUUAAAGUGUUGGAUACAGGCAGUUUAACAUACGCUGUGGUCGACCUCAAAAAGUCCGCCGAAACAGAGCCUCACAGAAAGACAGAUAACAUCAGCGUUGAAUACGCAACCAUCAAAACCACACAAUGAACAGUGCAACAUAUCUAAAGUGUCAUCAUCUUCUGCUCACGUCACACGUCACACAUCUUAAACACCAAGUACACACAGGUUUGUUAUCAGUUUGUCGCAUGUGUUACAUCAAGUUACCAGACACACUGCUUGCUGAGAGGUAAUCCUAGUGUUGACUGUUACAUUUACAUUUAUUCAUUUAGG
This is a long non-coding RNA of Scleropages formosus (Asian bonytongue), 767 nucleotides long. RefSeq lists it as uncharacterized. The record is from RefSeq and is a predicted model, not a curated record. The transcript is spliced from 4 exons. Lineage: Eukaryota; Metazoa; Chordata; Actinopteri; Osteoglossiformes; Osteoglossidae.